UUUGUGAAUGACUUCUUUUCG
RNAcentral lists this non-coding RNA (21 nucleotides) under Caenorhabditis elegans. The record is from RNAcentral. Lineage: Eukaryota; Metazoa; Nematoda; Chromadorea; Rhabditida; Rhabditidae.